CAAAGGGUAGUUUAAUUGGAAGAUUCCGGUUUUGGGG
RNAcentral lists this transfer RNA (37 nucleotides) under Caretta caretta (loggerhead turtle). RNAcentral's name for it is "partial tRNA-Pro". The record is from RNAcentral. Lineage: Eukaryota; Metazoa; Chordata; Testudines; Cheloniidae.